Long non-coding RNA from Thalassophryne amazonica, 126 nucleotides. RefSeq lists it as uncharacterized. The transcript has 3 exons. The record is from RefSeq and is a predicted model, not a curated record. Lineage: Eukaryota; Metazoa; Chordata; Actinopteri; Batrachoidiformes; Batrachoididae.
UUUUAAACUACAUUUCAAGUAUGUGCAGGAUUUCCGUCUAAUAAAUAUAUGGAGUCCCACCUAAAUUAAAUGACAUUAUCUUGCAUGGAUGUGUUUUAGUUGAGUUGGGGCUCCAUAUAUUUAUUA